RNAcentral lists this ribosomal RNA (433 nucleotides) under uncultured bacterium. Its description in RNAcentral is "partial 16S ribosomal RNA". It matches the Rfam family "Bacterial small subunit ribosomal RNA", at positions 29 to 507 of the family's 1533-position model. The record is from RNAcentral.
AACGAACGCUGGCGGCAUGCCUAACACAUGCAAGUCGAACGAUACCUUCGGGUCUUGUGGCGCACGUGUGCGUAACGCGUGGGAACCUGCCCUUAGGUUCGGCAUACCUCCCCGAAAGGGGUGCUAAUACCGGAUAAUGUCUUCGGACCAAAGAUUUCUCGCCUUUGGAUGGGCCCGCGUUGGAUUAGCUAGUUGGUAGGGUAAAAGCCUACCAAGGCGACGAUCUAUAGCUGGUCUGAGAGGAUGAUCAGCCACACUGGGACUGAGACACGGCCCAGACUCGUACGCGAGGGAGCAGUGGGGAAUAUUGGACAAUGGGGGAAAGGAUGAACAAGCAAUGCCGCGUGAGUGAUGAAGGCCUUAGGGUAGUAAAGCUCUUUUACCCGGGAUGAUAAUGACAGUACCGGGAGAAUAAGCUCCGGCUAACUACGUG